UACGGAAGGCAGCAGUGGGGAAUAUUGCACAAUGGGCGCAAGCCUGAUGCAGCCAUGCCGCGUGUAUGAAGAAGGCCUUCGGGUUGUAAAGUACUUUCAGUCGUGAGGAAGGUGUUAAGGUUAAUAACCUUAGCAAUUGACGUUAGCGACAGAAGAAGCACCGGCUAACUCCGUGCCAGCAGCCGCGGUAAUACGGAGGGUGCGAGCGUUAAUCGGAAUUACUGGGCGUAAAGGGCACGCAGGCGGUUAAUUAAGUUGGAUGUGAAUCCCCGGGCUUAACCUGGGAAUGGCAUUCAAGACUGGUUAGCUAGAGUCUUGUAGAGGGGGUAGAAUUCCGAUGUGUAGCGGUGAAAUGCGUAGAGAUGUGGAGGAAUACCGGGUGGCGAAGGCGGCCCCUGGGACAAGACUGACGCUCAUGUGCGAAAGCGUGGGGAGCGAAACAGGGAUUAGAUA
RNAcentral lists this ribosomal RNA (453 nucleotides) under uncultured bacterium. RNAcentral describes it as "bacterial SSU rRNA". It matches the Rfam family "Bacterial small subunit ribosomal RNA", at positions 340 to 784 of the family's 1533-position model. The record is from RNAcentral.